CAGCGAAAGACUGUGCUAAUACCGCAUACGAUCUACGGAUGAAAGCAGGGAGUCGCAAGACCUUGCGCGAAUGGAGCGGCCGAUGGCAGAUUAGGUAGUUGGUGAGGUAAAGGCUCACCAAGCCUUCGAUCUGUAGCUGGUCUGAGAGGACGACCAGCCACACUGGGACUGAGACACGGCCCAGACUCCUACGGGAGGCAGCAGCU
This 206-nucleotide ribosomal RNA is filed under the name uncultured Variovorax sp. RNAcentral describes it as "partial 16S ribosomal RNA". It matches the Rfam family "Bacterial small subunit ribosomal RNA", at positions 149 to 355 of the family's 1533-position model. The record is from RNAcentral. Lineage: Bacteria; Pseudomonadati; Pseudomonadota; Betaproteobacteria; Burkholderiales; Comamonadaceae.